UACGUAGGAUGCAAGCGUUGUCCGGAAUUAUUGGGCGUAAAGAGAACGUAGGCGGUUUUCUAAGUUUGGUCUUAAAGACCGGGGCUUAACUCCGGGAAUGGAUCGAAAACUGGGAGACUAGAGGAUGUCAGAGGAAAGUGGAAUUCCGAGUGUAGCGGUGAAAUGCGUAGAUAUUCGGAGGAACACCAGUGGCGAAGGCGGCUCACUGGUCCGGUACUGACGCUGAGGUGCGAAAGCGUGGGGAGCAAACAGG
Molecule: ribosomal RNA, 253 nt
Filed under: uncultured bacterium
Lineage: Bacteria
Description: partial 16S ribosomal RNA
Rfam family: Bacterial small subunit ribosomal RNA
Source: RNAcentral